AUUUCCGUGCGAAUCUCUAUCUCUACUACCUAAAAGAACUGCAAGGUUCCGUUUCCCGUCUUACAUCGCACGGAUCGUCAACCCCUCCACCCACCCGUUCGCGUUCUUACCCACGUUGGUUUUCCGCUAAAAAAAGAUUGGACGUGAGUCAACGGGAUCUCGCUCUAUCUCUCUCGCUCCCAAACAAACCCCCGCCAAUCGUUUCCCCUGGCCCUACCCCUCCCGAUCUGGUCGCCACCACAAUCUCGCCACCGAAUCUGGCAUCACCAUCGAUGGCGAGAUUGUGGCGUUCAGAUCCUGUGAGCUCUUCCAAUCCUGUGAGCUGCUAUGAAUCCGCCCCCUGCUCUUCCAAUCCUGUGAGCUGCUGGCGAGAUCGGCAUCCAAAUCCGUCACCAUCGAUGGCGCUUUGUUCCCAUCCGAAACUUGCCACUUGCGAGGGACCAAGCCCGCCGAAGCGGGCGACCAAAGGAUUCGAAGCAGCUUCGCCCUUCGCCAUCGACCAUCGAGGAGGGCGUGGGCCUGAUCUCCUGGCCUUCCAGGGGUCACCGCCGUUGCGCUCGUAUCGUCAGGCCGCCGUAGCACCGAUUCGGUCACCGGCCAUGGCCCAAUCCUCUCCCUCUCAGUUCGUGCUCCCCCUACUUUUAUCUUCCAAUGUUUUGUUCUGCAGGUUUUUGAGGCCGGGUGCGGGCAUGCGACAACUCUCGACUCAGAGAGAUACUUUGGCUGUCCUGGGAUCAUGUCAUCCAACCAUCCAUGGAGUUUUCGAGCAAAGUCUCGGCCUCCGGCCGGAGCAUGACCUCCGCAAAGAUCGUGACGGACCGAAGCUCCAAGCAACUCCAGCGGCAUCUUCACGACGCUCGAGGACGGCGAUGAGCACCUCUCCGUGUCCUUCGUGACUACCUCACGCCCUCUACGCCGUCCCGCUCUCACCGGACACCAGAACCAGCCCCAUCGCCAGAUCUUCCCCAUGUCCGACCACGCUGCCCGUCUCCGGCGACCUAGUCGUCCAACUCCGAUGUAUCGUAAAGUGAAGGAGUGACGAUAACAAAUAGGGAAUCAACUUCAAGACUCAGGCAAGUUGCAUCUUGAUCAUAAUUUGUCCUACGCUUUUGAAAUAUGCAUGAUCUGUUUAAAAUUUAGUAUGCAUGUUUUAUUAAAAGGUUGCAAAGAAUUAUUGCUAGCUAGAGCCCUAGGAACUUGUAGCUAUGCUUAGACUUGCUUACAAACAAAAGGGUUGGGAAUCAAACAAGUUUUAAACAAAUAAACUUGCCUUCUUUUGCAGCAACAUUUUGUGAAAACUUUUGAGAAACAAAACUAUAUAGUAUUUUACUUCUACUCCCUGGGCAGAAUGGUAUUGACAGGAGCGUCUACAAGUGAUUGCGCCCAUUGGGGUCUUGCAGUGAAUGCGCCCGACUGGGGUCUUGCACACAGGCUUUUGGUGGGGACCGCCGUCCAGGGGACUGAGAUCUCCCAAGUAGAGUUUGAUGUAGCUUCUUGUACAGCCACAUGCUACUAAGGGCUUUGGCUUAGCUUAGUACUAACGGGAAACCCUACCCCAGGACCGCCAUCGGAGAGAGGCCUUCGUGCCGAAGUUGCGGGCGGCUUGGUUGGUAUAGGGGGCUGUUACAGACAGGCUUCAUCACAAUCUCCUCCUAGUCGUCCAGUCCACCCAAGUGUGUAACGAUAAACGGGGUUGAUUGUGUCGUGUGGGGAACGUGUACGACCUCUGUAGAGGGUUAAACCUAAUCGAUUAGUCGUGCCCCGAUUAAGGGCAAUUUUGAGCAACUUAAGACUUGGACUAACAAAGAAUGUGUUUCACUUCAACCCUAUGUGUGUUUUAAACUAAUUUUGGAGAAUGAGCUUUGGUGCAUAUAUCCAAAUGUCUCACUUCUAUCUAUAUACAAAAAAUAUUAUUUUGUUUUCAAAGAAAGUUUCAAAAUUUAGUAUCAGAGAAAAUUGGCUUUAUGCAAAGGAAA
Molecule: long non-coding RNA, 1976 nt
Organism: Aegilops tauschii subsp. strangulata
Lineage: Eukaryota; Viridiplantae; Streptophyta; Magnoliopsida; Poales; Poaceae
Source: RefSeq, a predicted model, not a curated record